ACCGAAGAAUAUCAAACUCCGAAUGCCAUGUAGACAGGACCGGGAGUCAGACUGCACGAGAUAAGUUGGGCAGUCAAAAGGGAAAGAGCCCAGACCUACAGCUAAGGUCCCAAAGUGUGUGUUAAGUGGAAAAGGAUGUGGGAUUUCAAAGACAACUAGGAUGUUGGCUCAGAAGCAGCCACACAUUCAAAGAGUGCGUAAUAGCUCACUAGUCGAGAGGUCCUGCGCCGAAAAUGUCCGGGGCUGAAACACAACACCGAAGCUCAGGAAUGUAUUUAUACAUUGGUAGAGGAGCAUUCUUAAAGGGGCGAAGCAGUACCGAUAAGGAGCUGUGGACUUUUAAGAAGAGAGAAUGCCGGAAUGAGUAGCGAGAUGGAGGUGGGAAUCCUCCAGGCCGAAUAUCUAAGGUUUCCAGAGUAAAGCUGAUCUGCUCUGGGUAAGUCGGGGCCUAAGGCGAGGACGAGAGUCGUAGCCGAUGGACAACAGGUGGAGAUUCCUGUACUGCGGUAUGACAGAACUGUGGGGACACGUAAGGAAAGCGGAAGCCGGGAAUGGAAAGCCCGGUGCAAGCGGGGUACCAGUCACUUUGGCAAAUCCGGGUGGCAAUGGGAAGCCGUGAUGCGGAGCGAAAUAAAGUAGCGAAGUCCGUGAGCCAUGCGUCAAGAAAAGCCGCUAUCGUUUAUACCGUACCCGUACCGUAAACCGACACAGGUGGAUGAGGAGAGAAUCCUAAGGCCGGCGGAAGAAGCAUUGUCAAGGAACUCGGCAAAAUGGCCCCGUAACUUAGGGAUAAGGGGUGCCUGGGAAACCAGGCCGCAGAGAAUAGGCUCAAGCAACUGUUUAGCAAAAACACAGGUCUAUGCGAAACCGAAAGGUGAGGUAUAUGGGCUGACGCCUGCCCGGUGCUGGAAGGUUAAGAGGAGAGGUUAGCGGUAACGCGAAGCUUUGAAUUUAAGCCCCAGUAAACGGCGGCCGUAACUAUAACGGUCCUAAGGUAGCGAAAUUCCUUGUCGGGUAAGUUCCGACCCGCACGAAAGGCGUAAUGAUUUGAGCGCUGUCUCGACAAUGCAUCCGGUGAAAUUGAAGUACCAGUGAAGAUGCUGGUUACCUGCGCCAGGACGGAAAGACCCCAUGGAGCUUUACUCCAGUCUGGUACUGGGACUCGGUAUUGCAUGUACAGGAUAGGUGGGAGGCUAGGAGAUGGUAACGCCAGUUGCCAUGGAGCCGCUGUUGGGAUACCACCCUUGCAGUAUUGGGUUUCUAACCAGCCGCCGUGACCCGGCGGUGGGACAAUGCCAGACGGGGAGUUUGACUGGGGCGGUCGCCUCCGAAAGGGUAUCGGAGGCGCUCAAAGGUUCCCUCAGAAUGGUUGGAAACCAUUCGAAGAGUGCAAAGGCAGAAGGGAGCUUGACUGUGACACCGACGGGUGGAGCAGGUACGAAAGUAGGACUUAGUGAUCCGGUGGUAUUAAGUGGGAAUGCCAUCGCUCAACGGAUAAAAGCUACCCUGGGGAUAACAGGCUUAUCACUCCCAAGAGUUCACAUCGACGGAGUGGUUUGGCACCUCGAUGUCGGCUCAUCGCAUCCUGGGGCUGUAGUAGGUCCCAAGGGUUGGGCUGUUCGCCCAUUAAAGCGGUACGCGAGCUGGGUUCAGAACGUCGUGAGACAGUUCGGUCCCUAUCCGGCGUGGGCGUAGGAUAUCUGAGAGGAGCUGUCCUUAGUACGAGAGGACCGGGAUGGACGGGCCGCUGGUGCAUCGGUUAGACUGCCAAGUCUACGGCCGAGUAGCCAAGCCCGGAAGGGAUAAACGCUGAAGGCAUCUAAGCGUGAAGCCCCCCUUAAGAUGAGAUAUCCCAUUCGAAAGAAGUAAACCCCCUUGA
This 1879-nucleotide ribosomal RNA is filed under the name human gut metagenome. RNAcentral describes it as "bacterial LSU rRNA". It matches the Rfam family "Bacterial large subunit ribosomal RNA", at positions 938 to 2841 of the family's 2925-position model. The record is from RNAcentral.